UGGUGGCGAUAGCGAAGAGGUCACACCCGUUCCCAUACCGAACACGGAAGUUAAGCUCUUCAGCGCCGAUGGUAGUUGGGGGCUUCCCCCUGUGAGAGUAGGACGCUGCCAAGCC
This 115-nucleotide ribosomal RNA is filed under the name Bacillus pumilus. The record is from RNAcentral. Lineage: Bacteria; Bacillati; Bacillota; Bacilli; Caryophanales; Bacillaceae.